GUACNGCGUAGGAAUCCACCCGGCAGUGGGGGAUAACCGGGGGAAACUCGGGCUAAUACCGCAUGUCGAGCGUCGGCGUAGAGCCGGCGCUGAAAGCGGGGGAUCUCGCGCACGGCUUCGGCCGAAGGCGGAGACCUCGCGCUGUCGGAGGAGCCUGCGUUGGAUUAGCUUGUUGGUGGGGUAACGGCCUACCAAGGCGACGAUCCAUAGCUGGUCUGAGAGGACGAUCAGCCACACUGGGACUGAGACACGGCCCAGACGUCUACGGACGGCAGCAGUAGGGAAUCUUGCACAAUGGGCGAAAGCCUGAUGCAGCCAUGCCGCGUGUGUGAAGAAGGCCUUAGGGUUGUAAAGCACUUUCAGUGGCGAAGAAAAGGUCGGCGCCAAUACCGCCGGCCCUUGACGUUAACCACAGAAGAAGGACCGGCCAACUCCGUGCCAGCAGCCGCGGUAACACGGAGGGUCCGAACGUUAAUCGGAAUUACUGGGCGUAAAGCGCGUGUAGGCGGCUUGCUAAGUGGGAUGUGAAAGCCCCGGGCUCAACCUGGGAACUGCAUUUCAGACUGGCAGGCUAGAGUUCAGUAGAGGGAGGUGGAAUUUACCGUGUAGCGGUGGAAUGCGUAGAUAUGGUAAGGAACACCAGUGGCGAAGGCGGCCUCCUGGACUGAAACUGACGCUCAAGU
Molecule: ribosomal RNA, 683 nt
Filed under: uncultured bacterium
Lineage: Bacteria
Description: bacterial SSU rRNA
Rfam family: Bacterial small subunit ribosomal RNA
Source: RNAcentral